This 420-nucleotide ribosomal RNA is filed under the name Lachnospiraceae bacterium oral taxon A61. Its description in RNAcentral is "bacterial SSU rRNA". It matches the Rfam family "Bacterial small subunit ribosomal RNA", at positions 28 to 428 of the family's 1533-position model. Lineage: Bacteria; Bacillati; Bacillota; Clostridia; Lachnospirales; Lachnospiraceae. The record is from RNAcentral.
GAUGAACGCUGGCGGCAUGCCUAACACAUGCAAGUUGAACGAGAAGUUCCGGAACAAGUCUUCGGACAAGGGAAGGGACGGGAAGUAGCGAACGGGUGAGUAACGCGUGGGCAACCAACCUUACACAGGGGGAUAACGCAGAGAAAUUUGCGCUAAUACCGCAUAAGCGCACAGGAUCACAUGAUCCGGUGUGAAAAACUCCGGUGGUGUAAGACGGGCCCGCGUCUGAUUAGCUAGUUGGUGAGGUAAAGGCUCACCAAGGCGACGAUCAGUAGCCGACCUGAGAGGGUGAUCGGCCACAUUGGGACUGAGACACGGCCCAAACUCCUACGGGAGGCAGCAGUGGGGGAUAUUGCACAAUGGAGGGAACUCUGAUGCAGCAAUGCCCGCGUGAAGGAAGAAAGGUUUUUCGGAUUGUAA